Molecule: transfer RNA, 73 nt
Filed under: Candidatus Yanofskyibacteriota bacterium
Lineage: Bacteria; Candidatus Yanofskyibacteriota
Description: Candidatus Yanofskybacteria bacterium tRNA-Thr
Rfam family: tRNA
About the family: Transfer RNA (tRNA) molecules are approximately 80 nucleotides in length. Their secondary structure includes four short double-helical elements and three loops (D, anti-codon, and T loops).
Source: RNAcentral
GCCGGAGUAGCUUAGCUGGUAAAGCAACACUUUCGUAAAGUGGAGACCGCGAGUUCGACUCUCGCCUCCGGCU